Gallus gallus (chicken) is the source of this 5068-nucleotide long non-coding RNA. RefSeq annotates it as annexin A4-like. The transcript has 4 exons. The record is from RefSeq and is a predicted model, not a curated record. NCBI's taxonomy places the organism in Eukaryota, Metazoa, Chordata, Aves, Galliformes, Phasianidae.
AGCAGCAUCAUGGCAGUCAAGAGAAGGGAGCUGCAGCCAGUCAGGAAACUGGCUUUUCUUAGAAAGCUCAGGCUUUUCUGCACGUCAGGGUAAUACUCAGGAGCAAGCUGCUAAUGGAUCACUCCAUUAAUGCAAAAAUGCUCUAAGGCCUGGAAACAGAUGACAACACUCUUAUCAGAGUGGUGGUGUCCUGCUCCGAAAUAGAUGUACUGGAUAUCAGAAGAGAAUUCCUGACUAUGUAUGGGAAGUCUAUCUACUCCUUCAUUAAGGGAGACUGCUCAGGAGACUACAGGAAAGUUCUGCUGAAGCUCUGUGGCGGUGUUUGUAACUGUUGGUGAAUAACGCUCUGAAGGCAUCACAGACUGCCUGCUUGUCUCUGCAGUGCUCAGGGCUUUUCUGAGCUGCAGGCUCACUGCAGCCCCGUGGCACAGCCUCUCAUCUCAUGAUGGACUGAAGCUGGAGACUCCUGGCAGCAGAGGACGCUCCUGGCCCACAGAAGGGCUCACAGCUCCACUGCAGCUCUACCGACCUCAGUGCUGGUGAGGAGGCUGAGAUGCCUCCAAGUGAUGAAUGCAGUCCACCCAACCUUACACCUUGUGUGGUUCACCAUGUGAGGUGACCAGGAAGAAAGGUGGGCACAGGUAAUACUGCAUCAAAAGCGACUGCAGAGAUCUCGGGCUGGUAGUCCAAGGUGUGGGGGCCCAUGUGGUGCUGUGGGACAGGUGUGAAAGGAGGGCACUGGUGGUGUGCGCCAGACCUUGGCUGCAGGACUGGCGCUGGUGGCAGGGCCUUGGGUUCUGUGUCUGCAGGAUCUAUUUGCGGAUUGGUGUCUGCUUGGAAGGGAUGAGACCCACCUCCCUAAGGGAGGUGAGGAUAUUUUCAUCAGUAGGAUGGCAGCUUCACAAGGGAGAUUUUAAACUAAGAAUGGUGAGGGCUUUUGAUCACAGGGAUGGGUGAUACAAGGGAGAGGGACCAGAAAAUCAGCACUUGCAGGGCUGCAAGGAAAUGCCUGAAGGCACUGCUAUGGGGAGAUCCCCAUAUACGCCUGUGAUUGUCUGCUAGAUGGCUGUGAGAUUGAACCAAUUCCUCUCAGUGUUUCACAAUACCCGGUGAUAAAUGACCCGCAAGGACAGAGACAUUGGAGCCCUGUAGAUUACAAAAUGCUUAUGCAGCUGAAGAAGGCGGUGGUGGAGGGUGGCGUUAUGGGCUCAACUGCACAGCUUUUCCUUGAUACUAUCAGUAUGGCAGGCCCGUUAAUCUUUGACUGGCGCCAGGUUGCUAGAGCAUGCCCAGGUUCCCAUUUAUGAGGCUAUCUUGCAUGAGGAGGGGGAAAAGGUGAUAUUAGCAGCCCGAGACCCAGCGCACCCGUCACAUGGAGCCAUGCUAGAUAUGUUAAUGGGUGCUGAAACAGGGUUGACUCCCCAGGACCAGCUGAACCUCCCUGCCGCUGUGAUUAUUACAUCUGCCCAGUUGAGUCGCACCGCUCUGGAGCGCAUGCACUCCUUAUUGACUGGCUCCCCCAGUUAUCUUCAUAUCAGGCAGGGACCCGAUGAACACUUUGGCAGAUUUGCAGAUUGGGUGCAGACUGCUAUCGUGGGGAGCAAUCUCCCAGCCGAGGCACAGGAUAUUGUGCUUCGCGAGUGCUUGCGGUCUGGGGCCCUUCCUGCGUUCAAAACAGCCUUAGCAUCACUUCUUUCCUCCGCGACAGCUGGCGAGCUUAUUCAGCGUGGGUGCAACUUUGGUAGAGCUCAAGAGGCUCAGCCGGUGGUGCACGCCUUGCAGGUGUUUGCUGCACAGGUCUCUGGUUCUUCUGGCUGCUACAACUGCAAGGCGCCCGACCACAGAGCUCGAGAACGCCCUAAUAAGGGAACAACAGGGCCUCUUAACUUGGCGGGGCGGCACUUGUGCUGCUGGGUGUGUGGGGGCUCGCAUAUCACCCGAAGCUGCCCACAAAGGGGGCGGGGAAAACCUGUCAAUCAGGGAAACAAGAAAGCUGGGCCAGACAAGACGGGGAAGGCUCAGCAAAGUUGGAAGCCUGCCUCGGAGUCAGCCCAAGUGUGCCAGGUCCCGACCAAGAGUUUCAAUAAAAGCUCAUUGGGAAAGAGCGGGAAGGGAGAGCAAUAAAACACCUACAUCGCUGUCAAUAAAAGGCUGCACCCUGCCUGCAGACUGCUGGGUGGUGGGAUUGGGGGCCCUGGAUUCAGGGGUCCUUGUCCCUCUAUAGCAACCCACGAAGGACGGACACCUUGUUGCGUUCCCAGAGACGCUAGCUGCGCUGGCCCAGGAACAGGUAUCCCUUGUUGCUCUCACAAUGCCCCUUCAUGACAGACCAUAUGUUGACAUAAGUGUCCGCGUUCACGGGUUACUUGCCCCCUGUCCACCAUCUAUUCGUAUGGCCUGUACUGUGAACACAGGGGCCGACGUAACGACAAUAUCAGCCUCACAUUGGCCAUCCACCUGGCCGUUAGAUAGCAAAGUCAACGUGGUGGGUAGAGUAGGUGGCUCUAUUACAGGCUAUCGGAGUGCACUGCCAGUCACUAUUUCUUGGGAGGAAAAGGAUGGCACCGAGGUGACUUCUGCUCCCUUACGUCCCUUUAUCCUCAGUGUUCCCUUUGAGUUGCUCGGACGGGAUGUCCUGGCUGCCAUGGGGGCCACCAUCAACAUAGGAGCCCCACAGGGUUUUUGGUGGGGGCCACUGGGGAGGUCCCUUGCUGGUGAUUGCAGUGGCGAUCUGACUUGCCUAUCUGGACACCCCAGUGGCCCUUAAUGAAAGAGAAGCUCACCGCGCUGCAUGAACUUGUUGAAGCGGAGGUGCAAGUGGGCCACUUGGUUCCCUCCACUAGCCCCUGGAAUAGUCCCGUGUUUGUCAUUAAGAAAAGUCCAGGCAAGUGGCGGUUUUUGCAUGACUUAUGCAAGGUAAACGAUUCAAUGGAAUCCAUGGGAGCCUUACAACCAGGGCUGCCACUCCCAUCCAUGGUACCAAAAGAUUGCCAGUGUCUUGUAGCUGACCUUAAAGGUUGUUUCUUUAGCAUUCCCCUUCAUCCCAAUGACUGUAAGCGUUUCGCGCUAACCAUUCCAUCAAUCAACAAUGCAGAACCAGCUAAACGUUAUGAGUGGGUAAUACUCCCCCAGGGUAUGAAAAACUCACCAACAAUAUGUCAGAUGUUUGUGCAGCACACCCUCAAGGCUGUGCGUGACACUUGGCUGGGUCUUCUUAUCAUCCACUAUAUGGAUGAUUUGCUGCUAGCAGCUCCUGCACUACCCGAAAACUUAUAUGAGUGUGUGGGUGUGACAUUGAGGGGUUUCGGUCUAAGGAUAGGCAAGGACAAGACUCAACAUGUUGCUCCCUAUUCGUAUCUGGGAACGAAGUUGACAGAACGGAUGGUCCUGCCACAAAAACUGCUGGUGCCCACAACACAGGUCACGACCUUGCAUCAACUCCAGCAGCUGGUCAGCACCCUGCAGUGGCUGUGGCAAUUCAUUCCCAUCACUCCAGCUGAGUUCAAGCAGUUCACAAGGCUUGCUUUGCGGCGACACCAACUUGGCGGCUCCACAGGAGUUACUAGCUCACCAUCGUCAUCUCCUGUUGUUAUUUCUGGAACAGGUCCAAGGUUGGGUGUCCAAUAGAGGCCCAUAUUCUGUUUCAAAAGGAUGGGGCUAUUAUAAUUCUGCACCAGCAAAUUUCAGGUAAUCCCCUCUUAUUUGGGUAUGUGACCCCUGCUUCAGUUGCCCUUCCCCAGUGGGGUACCCUUUUAUCAUUGGCUAUCACCUGGGCCAGAUCAAAAACAGUAGUUGUGGCUGGAUACGAGCCAGAGCAGAUCAUGGUUGAACUGAACCCACAAGCCCUGCACAUGUUAGUUCAGGAAUCAGUGCAGGUACAAGUGGCCCUGGAAGGAUUCUGUAGGCCAUUGCAGAUCCUCAAGAGUCAACCGCUGCGUCUGCACCUCUGCAUGCAGGGACACAAGAGACGCACUCACGGAGUGUAGCUCAUGUGGCAAUUUAUUGCUGCGCAACAAGCCGUUAUAUACCGUGACACGCGACCGCCCAGGAAACCCAUGACCCAGUCCCCCCUCCCAUUGUACCACCCUUAACCCCACCUGUUACCCCAACAGUUAGGCCUGUUCUGCUUGUACAACUGUUCAAGAGACCCAUGGCCCUCUUGGCUGUGGAGCCAUCCCUCAACAAAAGGUGACACCAUUCUCCUUUCACAGACUUCAGCUUCAGUGUGACCGUCCACCCUGGGGAUAUGCUGGCUGUCACUGUGCCCACCAUCUGCCACAACGUCACCUGCAGACUCUGCGGAACUUCAAUGACCGUCCCCACACUGACCACCUCAUCCAGAGCAGCACUGCCACGUGUCACCGCCUCAGUACCGGUCCCAAGUGUUCCCUGUGCCGGCAAUCCCCCAGAAGUGAGUGAGUGGGCAGUGGCAACAACCUGGGCUCCUCGCCGAGCCCUGCACAGGUGGCAGUGUUCCAGGAGCACCACCUCUGGCCGCAUCCAUCCCUCUCCAAAAACAAGCUGAUGCUGUUCUCCUGGUUUGAGUGUCUGUGUACAGACUGUGUGACUGCCCGAGGGGAACCUUCCAACAAACUACUGCCUGAACUGAACCGAACUUCGGUGUCAUGAGUGUAGCUGCAGAUGCAGUAACUGUAAUGAAACUGUAACUAUCUGAAGACCCACAUGCAGAACAAACUGUACAGUGCACAGAAAUCACACUGCAACAAUGAAGGAAUGGGGCCAGGAUUGUGUUUUGGUAACAGUGAGGAGGCACCAGCAACAAGUUGUGGAUUGGCUGCCCCCCCUAUGCUGCACCAUGCAUUCACGCGUUGGCCACGCGUAGAGUGCAUGAUCCAGCUCAGGGCAUGCAGACAUCUCAGGAGGGCAGCAGGGUGAGGUAACUCAAGCAAAGGACACCGCUGCCUCCAUGGGGAUUCCCACAAGGCCCUGAGCCAACCAGUCCUGCACCUUAUGUCCAAUCUGAGCUGUGCUGGCUGAUGGUCCUUUUGGGAUCUCUUACCGGAUCAGUAGCUGUGCAAUACAGUGCUUAAAAGCUUGCUUUGGCUGA